AGAUUGAACGCUGGCGGCAUGCUUUACACAUGCAAGUCGAACGGUAACAGGCCGCAAGGUGCUGACGAGUGGCGAACGGGUGAGUAGUGUAUCGGAACGUGCCCAGUCGUGGGGGAUAACGCAGCGAAAGCUGCGCUAAUACCGCAUACGAUCUAUGGAUGAAAGCGGGGGACCGUAAGGCCUCGCGCGAUUGGAGCGGCCGAUAUCAGAUUAGGUAGUUGGUGGGUUAAAGGCUCACCAAGCCAACGAUCUGUAGCUGGUCUGAGAGGACGACCAGGCCACACUGGGACUGGAGACACGGCCCAGACCGUCCUACGGGAGCAGCAGGUCGGGAAUUUUGGACAAUGGGCGCAAGCCUGAUCCAGCAAUGCCGCGUGCGAGGAACGAAGGCCGUUACGGGUUAGUAAACC
This 410-nucleotide ribosomal RNA is filed under the name uncultured soil bacterium. RNAcentral's name for it is "bacterial SSU rRNA". It matches the Rfam family "Bacterial small subunit ribosomal RNA", at positions 26 to 431 of the family's 1533-position model. The record is from RNAcentral.